CCUUCGAUAGCUCAGCUGGUAGAGCAGAGGACUGUAGAUCCUUAGGUCGCUGGUUCGAGUCCGGCUCGGAGGA
This 73-nucleotide transfer RNA is filed under the name Macaca mulatta (Rhesus monkey). RNAcentral's name for it is "tRNA-Tyr (GTA) (tRNA-Tyr-GTA-5-1)". It matches the Rfam family "tRNA". From Rfam's summary of the family: Transfer RNA (tRNA) molecules are approximately 80 nucleotides in length. Their secondary structure includes four short double-helical elements and three loops (D, anti-codon, and T loops). Lineage: Eukaryota; Metazoa; Chordata; Mammalia; Primates; Cercopithecidae. The record is from RNAcentral.